UUGACAGCCCUGGAGACUAAAGUCCUUUAUUUAUUUAUAGAGCAGUUACAGCAUGGGCAGCAGCAGUGCAAACUUCCCUACGUUGUCCCACCAAUGUGCCUCAACCCUGACCUGGAGAGACCAGCUUUAGGGGUAAGAGAGUAGCUGAGACACCAUACCCUUGGCCUCUCUGCUAAG
Chelonoidis abingdonii (Abingdon island giant tortoise) is the source of this 177-nucleotide unclassified non-coding RNA. Lineage: Eukaryota; Metazoa; Chordata; Testudines; Testudinidae. The record is from Ensembl.